GACGAACGCUGGCGGCGUGCUUAACACAUGCAAGUCGAACGGAAAGGCCCUGCUUUUGUGGGGUGCUCGAGUGGCGAACGGGUGAGUAACACGUGAGUAACCUGCCCUUGACUUUGGGAUAACUUCAGGAAACUGGGGCUAAUACCGGAUAGGAGCUCCUGCUGCAUGGUGGGGGUUGGAAAGUUUCGGCGGUUGGGGAUGGACUCGCGGCUUAUCAGCUUGUUGGUGGGGUAGUGGCUUACCAAGGCUUUGACGGGUAGCCGGCCUGAGAGGGUGACCGGCCACAUUGGGACUGAGAUACGGCCCAGACUCCUACGGGAGGCAGCAGUGGGGAAUAUUGCACAAUGGGCGGAAGCCUGAUGCAGCAACGCCGCGUGCGGGAUGACGGCCUUCGGGUUGUAAACCGCUUUCGCCUGUGACGAAGCGUGAGUGACGGUAAUGGGUAAAGAAGCACCGGCUAACUACGUGCCAGCAGCCGCGGUGAUACGUAGGGUGCGAGCGUUGUCCGGAUUUAUUGGGCGUAAAGGGCUCGUAGGUGGUUGAUCGCGUCGGAAGUGUAAUCUUGGGGCUUAACCCUGAGCGUGCUUUCGAUACGGGUUGACUUGAGGAAGGUAGGGGAGAAUGGAAUUCCUGGUGGAGCGGUGGAAUGCGCAGAUAUCAGGAGGAACACCAGUGGCGAAGGCGGUUCUCUGGGCCUUUCCUGACGCUGAGGAGCGAAAGCGUGGGGAGCGAACAGGCUUAGAUACCCUGGUAGUCCACGCUGUAAACGGUGGGUACUAGGUGUGGGGUCCAUUCCACGGGUUCCGUGCCGUAGCUAACGCUUUAAGUACCCCGCCUGGGGAGUACGGCCGCAAGGCUAAAACUCAAAGGAAUUGACGGGGCCCCGCACAAGCGGCGGAGCAUGCGGAUUAAUUCGAUGCAGCGCGUAGAACCUUACCUGGGUUUGACAUGGAUCGGGAGCGCUCAGAGAUGGGUGUGCCUCUUUUGGGGUCGGUUCACAGGUGGUGCAUGGCUGUCGUCAGCUCGUGUCGUGAGAUGUUGGGUUAAGUCCCGCAACGAGCGCAACCCUUGUUCACUGUUGCCAGCACGUUAUGGUGGGGACUCAGUGGAGACCACCGGGGUCAACUCGGAGGAAGGUGGGGAUGACGUCAAGUCAUCAUGCCCCUUAUGUCCAGGGCUUCACGCAUGCUACAAUGGCUGGUACAGAGAGUGGCGAGCCUGUGAGGGUGAGCGAAUCUCGGAAAGCCGGUCUCAGUUCGGAUUGGGGUCUGCAACUCGACCUCAUGAAGUCGGAGUCGCUAGUAAUCGCAGAUCAGCAACGCUGCGGUGAAUACGUUCCCGGGGCU
RNAcentral lists this ribosomal RNA (1346 nucleotides) under uncultured bacterium. RNAcentral's name for it is "bacterial SSU rRNA". It matches the Rfam family "Bacterial small subunit ribosomal RNA", at positions 28 to 1381 of the family's 1533-position model. The record is from RNAcentral.